GGAUGGUCUAAAGGUAGAGAAUGAUCUCAAUUGAUUGUUCAUAGUUAGUUCCAGAUAGAAUUUCUUGUUCUGCACUUUUCCCCAUUCUCACUACUGUACUUGACUAGUAA
RNAcentral lists this Y RNA (110 nucleotides) under Carlito syrichta (Philippine tarsier). RNAcentral's name for it is "Y RNA (ENSTSYG00000021063.2)". It matches the Rfam family "Y RNA". From Rfam's summary of the family: Y RNAs are components of the Ro ribonucleoprotein particle (Ro RNP), in association with Ro60 and La proteins. The Y RNAs and Ro60 and La proteins are well conserved, but the function of the Ro RNP is not known. In humans the RNA component can be one of four small RNAs -- hY1, hY3, hY4 and hY5. Lineage: Eukaryota; Metazoa; Chordata; Mammalia; Primates; Tarsiidae. The record is from RNAcentral.